This is a long non-coding RNA of Esox lucius (northern pike), 300 nucleotides long. Lineage: Eukaryota; Metazoa; Chordata; Actinopteri; Esociformes; Esocidae. The record is from Ensembl.
UGUACACACUGUUUUGCUCUGAUUAACAUAACGUUUUAUUAGCCAGUCAUUAGCCUGGUUUGUUAUACUUUUUACCAUAUUUUUUUUAAAAGGUGCAUCAUUCAGUAUGUCCUCCGGUGACCUUCUUGCAAAGAGGGAGAAAAUCGAACGCCAGAUUUUGGCUCUCGAACGCACCCUUGGUUCCGAAACCAACUCGAUUGAGCUGUCUUCUGACAGCUGUGCUUCUGAGGAUGGAUCUGAUGACAAUGAGUCUCAACCAGAACAUUUGGGUCCUUCAGAGAACUUGGAGGCAGAGCGGCA